GACGAACGCUGGCGGCGUGCCUAAUACAUGCAAGUUGAGCGCUGACUUUUGGUCCUGGUACCGACUGGAUGAGCAGCGAACGGGAGAGUAACGCGUGUGGGGUCUGCCUUUGAGCGGGGGGGAACAUUUGGGAACGAGUGCUAAUACCGAAUAAAAACUUUAAACACAAUUUGUAAGUGUGAAAGAUGCAAUUGCAUCGCGCAAAGAUGAACCCACGUUGUAUUAGCUAGUUGGUGUGGGAAAGUCUCACCAAGGAGAGGAUACAUAGCAGCCCUGAGAGGGGGAUCGGCCACACUGGGAUUGAGAGACGGCCCAAACCCCUACGGGAGGCAGCCGUAGGGAACCCUCGGGAAUGGAAGAAAGGGUGACCGAGCAACGCCGCGUGAGUGACGAAGGUUGUCGGAUCGUAAGACUCGGUUGGUAGAGAAGAUCGUUGGGGAGAGUGGAAAGCUCAGCAAGUGACGGUAACUACAGAGAAAGCGACGGCUAACUACGUG
This 497-nucleotide ribosomal RNA is filed under the name uncultured bacterium. RNAcentral describes it as "partial 16S ribosomal RNA". It matches the Rfam family "Bacterial small subunit ribosomal RNA", at positions 28 to 507 of the family's 1533-position model. The record is from RNAcentral.